CCUACGGGGUGCAGCAGUGGGGAAUAUUGGACAAUGGGCGAAAGCCUGAUCCAGCCAUGCCGCGUGUGUGAAGAAGGCCUUCGGGUUGUAAAGCACUUUCAGUGGGGAAGAAAGCCUUGGGGCUAAUACCCUCGAGGAAGGACAUCACCCACAGAAGAAGCACCGGCUAACUCCGGGCCAGCAGCCGCGGUAAUACGGAGGGUGCGAGCGUUAAUCGGAAUUACUGGGCGUAAAGCGCGCGUAGGCGGUCUGAUAAGCCGGUUGUGAAAGCCCCGGGCUCAACCUGGGAACGGCAUCCGGAACUGUCAGGCUAGAGUGCAGGAGAGGAAGGUAGAAUUCCCGGUGUAGCGGUGAAAUGCGUAGAGAUCGGGAGGAAUACCAGUGGCGAAGGCGGCCUUCUGGACUGACACUGACGCUGAGGUGCGAAAGCGUGGGUAGCAAACAGGAUUAGAUACCCUGGUAGUC
This 465-nucleotide ribosomal RNA is filed under the name Vreelandella stevensii. RNAcentral describes it as "partial 16S ribosomal RNA". It matches the Rfam family "Bacterial small subunit ribosomal RNA", at positions 338 to 795 of the family's 1533-position model. Lineage: Bacteria; Pseudomonadati; Pseudomonadota; Gammaproteobacteria; Oceanospirillales; Halomonadaceae. The record is from RNAcentral.